AUAAGCCUGCCUGUUCCAGGAAAUCCUCACCAAAGUAUUGCAGUUACAUCCAGCGGCACUAUGGACCAUUUACCUCACGUAAGUCACUCUAUUCAUCGUUCCCUUUUUUGACUCCUGUGUUUCCUUGUUCUCAGUGUUUUCCGCCGUGUUCCCGAUCCACGUCAUUCCUGCCGCCAAGCCGGCCGCCUGUCCUCACCACUGCCUUCCACCUGUCCACGCUACCGCCUGCCAACCCACCUAGGACUGCCGCCAUUAUCUUUCCUCAAUAAACUGUUCAUCAUUUUACCCUGCCUGCUCUUGGAUACAGCUACUCCCCAUACGUGACAGAAUACUUUGGCCCUUUCCCAAUUACCAAAAUCAUCAAUCCCACUUCCGUCUAGUUGAAGCUUCCACAGUCCUUAAAGAUUCACCCAAACUUCCACGUCUCGUUGCUCAAGCCUGUCUCCACCUGCGCCCUAAGCCCUCUGGCCGAACUCCAUCCGUCCUCCCUGAUUAUUGAUGACCAUCCGGCCUUCACGGUGUCGCGCAUCCUCGAUGUGAGGCCUAGGGGAGGGGGCUCCAGUACCUGGUUGACUGGGAAGGGUAUAGGCUGGAGGAACGAUCUUGGAGCUUAUACUCGAUCAUACCCUUUUGGACGACUUCUACGCGGCUCACCCGGGGAAGCCUGGCAGGACGCCGGGAGGCAUCCGUUGAGAGGGGGGUACUGUCAUAUACUGCCCUGCAAUUCCAUUAUUGGAGCCGGGAGGGCGCUUUACGUCCUCUCUCUCUCUCCCCCCUCCCCUCUGUGUUUUCAGCACCUGUCUCGAGUCAGCCUCAUCACCACUGGUGUAUAUAAGCCUGCCUGUUCCAGGAAAUCCAAAUGUUUUCCCCCGUGUUUCUGAUCCACGUCAUUCCUGCCGCCAAGCCAGCCGCCUGUCGUCACCACUGACACCAUCAUCCCUCAACUACUGAUCUACAAAUUGGACCAGCUGGGGCUCAACACUUCAAUGUGCAACUGGCUGCUGGACUUUCUGACAGGGAGACCGCAGGCAGUACGGGUCGGCAGCAAUACAUCCAGCACCAUCACUCUGAAUACGGGGAUCCCUCAAGGUUGUGUGUUGCGUCCCCUCCUCUUCACCCUGGUGAACUUUGAUUGCACACCGACAUACAACUCCAACCUCUUCAUCAAGUUUGCAGAAGGCACAACUAUGGUGGGUCUCAUCAGCAAUGGGGACGAGACAGAUGAGUGAGAUGAGCAACAGGAGUGAGAUGAGCAACCUGGCCGGGUGGUACACGGAAGACAAUCUCUUCCGAAAUGUGGAAACAAGGAACAAGGAGAUUGUUGUGGACUUCAGGAGAGCGCACUCACAGCAUUCUCCUCUGAACAUCAAUGGUGCUGUGGUGGCGAGUUCCUGGGAGUGCACAUCACCGAGAAUCUCUCCUGGACCAGAACCACCUCAUCACUGGCCAAGAAAGCUCACCAGCGUCUAUACUUCCCGUGCAAGCUGAGAAGAGCCAGAGCCCUGACCCCCAUCAUGUUCUACAUCGGGACCAUCGAGAGCAUCCUGACCAACUGCAUCACUGCGUGAUACGGAGCCUACACCGCAUUCUACCGCAAGACUCUCCAUUGCAUCGUGAGGGCAGCUGAGAAGAUUAUCGGAACCUCUCUUCCCUCCCUGCAGGACAUCUACAGCACCCGCCUCACCCGCAAAGCCCUCCGCAUAGCGGAGGAUGCCACCCAUCCAUCACACAGCCUCUUCAGUCUGCUGCCGUCAGGGAGGAGACUGCGGAGUCUGCAAGCCAAGACUACCCAACUCAAUGACAGUUUUAUUCAUCAGGCUGUAAGGAAUCUGAACUCUCUGCCCGCUCUGCCCCCUCUACCUCUUCUGUCCUCUACCCACCUGAACUCUGAACUCUGACGCUCCACAUACGUGCACAUACACACACUUCAAUACACACUCACACAUAUAUACACACACAUUUGUAUACACACACACACCAAUACACACACACACACAUCAAUACACCAGACUCAGGGUCACACCAGCCACUUUAGCAGAUUUGGGAUUUUCUCAUCUAAUUUGUCUUAUUUGACUUGGUUCUCUGACCUUGACUAUGUUGCACACGUCACCUGAUCUUUGUUAUUGCACAUUCAACUAAUACUUUUUACACUGUAUAUACCAUAGCUUUAUUUAGCUUUUUAUAUUGACAUUAUUUGUAGCACCGCGGGCCUUUGAGUACCGUAAUUUCAGUCCUCUGUAUGUGUUAUGCAUAUUGAAGAAUUGCCAAUAAAAGCACCUUGACCUUGACCUUCUAAACAACUUUCAGUAUAAUGCUUGGUUUUACACCACUGCAAAGUACAACCUCGAUUAAACCGAUUUUUAUCUUUGUCAAGACAAAAAUAUUGGCUCAUGUUAUGGAUCUUAGAAUUAUGUCCACAUGAUACAGGUAACCAAAUGUUGUCGCCAGUGAUGUCAUGUUUAGUGUACCUCAUCUAACCAUAGUGCAUUGUCCACUCUCUGGAAUAAAAUAUACUGUACAUCUGGUAUGGACUAUAUUGAAACCAACUAUGUUCUGUUGUGAAAUAAAUGAUGCCUUGAUUA
Phyllopteryx taeniolatus (common seadragon) is the source of this 2582-nucleotide long non-coding RNA. RefSeq lists it as uncharacterized. The transcript has 2 exons. The record is from RefSeq and is a predicted model, not a curated record. NCBI's taxonomy places the organism in Eukaryota, Metazoa, Chordata, Actinopteri, Syngnathiformes, Syngnathidae.